GAGGGAGCAGAAAACUUAAGAUAAACCUACGUUUCUAAGAAAAUUUAAGGUAUUUUUUAUUGCGGCCCACAUAAACUUAAACCUUGUUUAUGUGGCCCAUGCCAGACUUUGAGUUUGACAUGAUUGCAUUAGAGUGUACAUCUGUGGACUCAGUCUCAUCAUGGUUUUGGUUAGAAUGAGGUGAGUUACUAUCCACAGUACAUUCAGUGAACAUAACUUAUGCUUCCAGGACUCCCUAUUCAUGCAAAAAGAGCACCGUGUAUCCAAGCAGUCUAAUGAUGCAAAGUUAUACCAAUGUAUGCCCAACUCUAAUGAAAUCUGCAUAACGAUACCCCACUCUCUAAUGAACGCAGUGCCAUCACGGUGAUACUAUGAUAACAUUUAAACUCACAAUUUUGAUGGUGUCACUUUAAUAGUAUUGCUUCAGAAUGAAUGCUUCGGUUGGUUCCGAAAGUGUUGCAAAAAAAAAAAAAAAAAAAAAGCGGUGCAGAGCUCCAACAGUAAAGCAAAAAAAAAAACAACAAAAAAACCCUUGCCAAGUCCAUUCGUUUUCAAGGUGACUGGACAACUUUUAGAACUCUGAAUUACUGUAGUUUUUAUAAAUCUCCCCCUUGUUCCUAUGAAUGCACCUUCAACCACAG
Molecule: non-coding RNA, 641 nt
Organism: Pelobates cultripes (western spadefoot toad)
Lineage: Eukaryota; Metazoa; Chordata; Amphibia; Anura; Pelobatidae
Source: the annotation of a GenBank genome assembly